Molecule: ribosomal RNA, 320 nt
Filed under: uncultured bacterium
Lineage: Bacteria
Description: bacterial SSU rRNA
Rfam family: Bacterial small subunit ribosomal RNA
Source: RNAcentral
GACGAACGCUGGCGGCGUGCUUAACACAUGCAAGUCGAGCGGUAAGGCCCUUUCGGGGGUACACGAGCGGCGAACGGGUGAGUAACACGUGGGUGACCUGCCCUUAGCUCUGGGAUAAGCCUGGGAAACUGGGUCUAAUACCGGAUAUGACUCCAUAACGCAUGUUGUGGGGUGGAAAGCCUUGUGCGGCUAGGGAUGGGCCCGCGGCCUAUCAGCUUGUUGGUGGGGUGAUGGCCACCAAGGCGACGACGGGUAGCCGGCCUGAGAGGGCGACCGGCCACACUGGGGACUGAGACACGGCCCAGACCCCUACGGGAGGG